GCGCCUGUAGUGUACGUGGUAUGCACGCCUGCCUGUGAAGCAGGAAGUAAGGGUUCAACUCCCUUCGGACGCC
Molecule: transfer RNA, 73 nt
Filed under: Blastopirellula marina
Lineage: Bacteria; Pseudomonadati; Planctomycetota; Planctomycetia; Pirellulales; Pirellulaceae
Description: tRNA-His
Rfam family: tRNA
About the family: Transfer RNA (tRNA) molecules are approximately 80 nucleotides in length. Their secondary structure includes four short double-helical elements and three loops (D, anti-codon, and T loops).
Source: RNAcentral